Molecule: ribosomal RNA, 803 nt
Filed under: uncultured bacterium
Lineage: Bacteria
Description: bacterial SSU rRNA
Rfam family: Bacterial small subunit ribosomal RNA
Source: RNAcentral
CAUGAGGAAAGCUUGCUUUCCUUGAUGACGACUGGCGCACGGGUGAGUAACGCGUAUCCAACCUUCCCAUAACUACGGGAUAACCCGUUGAAAGACGGCCUAAUACCGUAUGACAUCGUUUGCUGACAUCAAAUAACGAUUAAAGGUUUAGCGGUUAUGGAUGGGGAUGCGUCUGAUUAGCUUGUUGGCGGGGUAACGGCCCACCAAGGCUACGAUCAGUAGGGGUUCUGAGAGGAAGGUCCCCCACAUUGGAACUGAGACACGGUCCAAACUCCUACGGGAGGCAGCAGUGAGGAAUAUUGGUCAAUGGGCGAGAGCCUGAACCAGCCAAGUAGCGUGCAGGAUGACGGCCCUAUGGGUUGUAAACUGCUUUUAUGUGGGGAUAAAGUGCGUGACGUGUCAUGCAUUGCAGGUACCACAUGAAUAAGGACCGGCUAAUUCCGUGCCAGCAGCCGCGGUAAUACGGGAGGUCCGGGCGUUAUCCGGAUUUAUUGGGUUUAAAGGGAGCGUAGGCUGUCUAUUAAGCGUGUUGUGAAAUUUACCGGCUCAACCGGUGGCUUGCAGCGCGAACUGGUCGACUUGAGUAUGCAGGAAGUAGGCGGAAUUCAUGGUGUAGCGGUGAAAUGCUUAGAUAUCAUGACGAACUCCGAUUGCGCAGGCAGCUUACUGUAGCAUAACUGACGCUGAUGCUCGAAAGUGCGGGUAUCAAACAGGAUUAGAUACCCUGGUAGUCCGCACGGUAAACGAUGGAUGCUCGCUAUUCGUCCUAUUUGGAUGAGUGGCCAAGUGAAAACAUUAAGCAU